AAGAUGCAUCAAGAACUAUUCUUCUUCAAGCUGUAGCCUGUAGGAGGAGGUUGCGUCAGAUGGAGUUCCCCCAUUCACUUCUGGUUCUUGUUUGCUUCUUCAGGUAGAGUUGAUUUGGUUUUGAUAAUUUUCGUGUUCAUGAUUCAUCGGGAGAUGGAUUUGUUUCUCAGUAUCCUCAUGUAUGCUGUAGCUGGAUUGUAUCAAAGCAAAUAAAUCGACGAUGAGUAAAGAGAUU
This 235-nucleotide small RNA is filed under the name Oryza sativa Japonica Group (Japanese rice). Its description in RNAcentral is "sRNA Os04g0641101". Lineage: Eukaryota; Viridiplantae; Streptophyta; Magnoliopsida; Poales; Poaceae. The record is from RNAcentral.